GUUUGAUCCACUGCCUCCCACCCCCCAGCCCUCUGCAGUGGCACAUGAUGCAGGUACUGUGCAUGUGAGGGAAUCUGACAGAGUCUGUCGUUGGUGGCUGACCUCCAAUCUGCUAAGCACACCUCUGCCUCUGCUAGCCACACAACCACUGCCUCCUGCUUGGCCCUGUCCAGGGGAUGACAGUAAACAGGCCCACAGUGUUUCCCAAACCCCCUUUCUCACCCCCCAGUAAUUAUUUUGCAAUAGCUUAUGUUCUGUGGGGUUAGGGUCAACUUGUCUUAUCUGGACAAAGCGUCUUAGAGUAGGAGUGCUGAUCUAGGAUCAGUUUUUCCUUUAAGAUCAUCAUUAAUCAAAUUAUAUUGACUAGUGGGACCUGACCCUAGGUCAGCUCUCCUACUCUUGUGGCGUAUUUCCAUAUUGGAUUUACCCCAGUGCUUUACCCAAAAGGCUCAGACUUUUCGGGUUUCCAUCUACGCGGGCCAGAACCUGUGUCUCACUGGGCCAUGGCUCCAGCAGACCUGCUCUCAGUUGGGGCCAAAGCCAGGCCACUGGUACUUUUCAGCUAGCAUUUACAUAACUAUGGCUAACUGAAUUCUAACACCUCACAAUGCAACUGUUUUGAUUAUGCAGAGGUUGUUGAUUCUGCUCCUCACAAGUCCUCGCUUUCAGUCCUAGCUAUGGAAACACAGUAUCCCUAGUAUAACAUAAGGGUGUAUACACUAGUGUAAAAAUGGUGCUACAGUCGAAAAACAACAUUGGAUGCUUUGUGAAUAUGGGCCCUGGUGAAGUGUGUGAUCUUAGGCAUGCUCCCAUGGCUCCAGCAAGACCUGCUCUCACUUGGGGCCAAAGCCAGAGGACCUGAGCCCCUGCUCGGGUUGGCGUUCCGACUGCAGCUAUGGUCUUCUGGCCUGAUAUCACCGGGCGUGCUACCUUAUCCUGGACCACUGCUAGAGUCCUCACUGUCAGUCCUAGCUCAGCCAGGACCCUACUAAUGCUAUGUUGAACGAGCACCAUGGACGGAGGGGGAGGAAAACAGACAGCUACUCUCUACCACACAUUCACCAAGUCAUGAACAAUUUUUGCAUUUUCUAAAAUAAAUGUGUAAUACAUUUUGUUCA
Oncorhynchus kisutch (coho salmon) is the source of this 1118-nucleotide long non-coding RNA. RefSeq lists it as uncharacterized. Lineage: Eukaryota; Metazoa; Chordata; Actinopteri; Salmoniformes; Salmonidae. The record is from RefSeq and is a predicted model, not a curated record. The transcript is spliced from 4 exons.